RNAcentral lists this ribosomal RNA (119 nucleotides) under Capsicum annuum. The record is from RNAcentral. Lineage: Eukaryota; Viridiplantae; Streptophyta; Magnoliopsida; Solanales; Solanaceae.
GGAUAGGAUCAUACCAGCACUAACGCACCGGAUCCCAUCAGAACUCCGAAGUUAAGCAUACUUGGGGGAGAGUAAUACUAGGAUGGGUGACACCCUGGGAAGUCCUCGUGUUAUAUCCC